GAUGAACGCUGGCGGCGUGCCUAAUACAUGCAAGUCGAGCGAACAGACGAGGAGCUUGCUCCUCUGACGUUAGCGGCGGACGGGUGAGUAACACGUGGAUAACCUACCUAUAAGACUGGGAUAACUUCGGGAAACCGGAGCUAAUACCGGAUAAUAUAUUGAACCGCAUGGUUCAAUAGUGAAAGACGGUUUUGCUGUCACUUAUAGAUGGAUCCGCGCCGCAUUAGCUAGUUGGUAAGGUAACGGCUUACCAAGGCAACGAUGCGUAGCCGACCUGAGAGGGUGAACGGCCACACUGGAACUGAGACACGGUCCAGACUCCUGCGGGAGGCAGCAGUAGGGAAUCUUCCGCAAUGGGCGAAAGCCUGACGGAGCAACGCCGCGUGAGUGAUGAAGGUCUUCGGAUCGUAAAACUCUGUUAUUAGGGAAGAACAAAUGUGUAAGUAACUAUGCACGUCUUGACGGUACCUAAUCAGAAAGCCACGGCUAACUACGUG
This 497-nucleotide ribosomal RNA is filed under the name uncultured bacterium. RNAcentral describes it as "partial 16S ribosomal RNA". It matches the Rfam family "Bacterial small subunit ribosomal RNA", at positions 28 to 507 of the family's 1533-position model. The record is from RNAcentral.